This is an RNA transcript of Gallus gallus (chicken), 3872 nucleotides long. It is a transcript of the gene named zinc finger RANBP2-type containing 3, with no coding region annotated. The transcript has 23 exons. The record is from RefSeq and is a predicted model, not a curated record. Lineage: Eukaryota; Metazoa; Chordata; Aves; Galliformes; Phasianidae.
ACUUCCGGGCGGCGGCGUUUGAGCCCGAAGCCCGCCAAGGCGUGAGGCGCUGAGCUGGGGCCUGCUCCGAGGCAAGGGUUGAGCACCUGUGGGCUUCUUUCUCAGUCCGCGUUUACAGUAGAAAGACUCGCUCUGCUCGCCCUAACGGUGGGGUAUUGCGGCACAUGAGCUGCGUCCAAAAUGGCUAGUAUGCUCCAGGACACACGUACACUUGAAGCUUCUUAUUCUGAAAAUGUUGAUGCUGAGCUGUCCUUUCUGCCUGAAAGACUGAGAAAGAAACUGCUUCCUUUUCAGGAGAAAGGCAUCAUAUUUGCACUUCAGAGGAGUGGCAGGUGUAUGAUUGCUGAUGAGAUGGGGCUAGGUAAAACAAUUCAAGCAAUUGCUAUUUCCUACUACUACAGAAGGGAAUGGCCUCUGUUAAUAGUAGUGCCUUCAUCUCUGAGAUAUCCUUGGGUUGAUGAGCUGGAAAAGUGGAUUCCAGAACUGUCUCCAGAUGAUAUUAUUAUCAUUCAGAACAAAACUGACACUGGGAGAAUAUCAACCAGCAAAGUGAUAGUUCUGGGAUAUGGCCUGUUAACUUCUGAUGCACAGACUUUAGUAGACACUCUGUAUAGGCAAAACUUCAAGGUAGUUGUGAUUGAUGAAUCACACUAUAUGAAAUCCAGAAAUGCUAUGCGCAGCAACAUUUUAUUGCCAAUUGUGCAGAAAGCCACUAGAGCUAUUCUUCUUACUGGAACUCCUGCUCUAGGAAGACCUGAAGAGCUUUUCAUGCAGAUUGAGGCACUUUUUCCAAGAAGAUUUGGAACUUGGAGUGAAUAUGCCAAAAAAUACUGUGAUGCUCGUUUGAGGUUCUUUGGUAAAAGAAAACAAUGGGACUGUAGAGGAGCUUCAAAUUUAAAAGAACUACAUCAACUUUUAAGAGAAAUAAUGAUCAGAAGACUGAAGAAUGAUGUUCUAACACAAUUACCUCCCAAAGUUAGACAGCGUAUUCCAUUUGAUCUCCCACAAGCCACAGCUAAGAAUUUGAGUACCACUUUUGCAGAGUGGGAGAGAUUAAUGAGAAAGUUGAAUUCAGAGCCCACUGACAGCCAUUUUGUUGAAAUCAUGAGUUUAAUCACACGCAUGUAUAAAGAAACUGCAAUUGCCAAGGCAGGAGCAGUAAAGGACUAUAUCAGAAUGAUGCUCGAAAACGACAAACUGAAGUUUCUAGUUUUUGCUCACCACAUAAGUAUGCUUCAGGCUUGUACAGAGGCAGUUAUAGAAAAUAAGGUUCGCUACAUACGGAUAGAUGGAAGUGUUCCUUCUGCAGAAAGAAUACGUCUUGUUAAUCAGUUUCAGAAGGAUCCUGAUACCCGGGUUGCUAUUUUGAGUAUUCAGGCAGCUGGUCAGGGUUUAACUUUCACUGCUGCUACUCACAUUGUAUUUGCUGAAUUAUAUUGGGAUCCAGGCCAUAUUAAGCAAGCAGAAGACAGAGCACACCGGAUUGGGCAGUGCAGUUCUGUGAAUAUUCACUUCCUUAUAGCAAAAGGAACGUUGGAUCCUCUUAUGUGGGCAAUGCUGAAUCGCAAGGCCAAGGUUACAGGCAGCACCUUGAAUGGCAAAAAAGAGAAAAUGCAGGCUGAAGAAGGUGAUAAAGAGAAAUGGGAUUUUUUGAGUUUUGCUGAAGCUUGGACCCCUAAUGACAAUGUAGAAGAUCUCCAAAAUGAAUUUCUGUUUACACAUUUUGAGAAGGAAAGACAGCAUGACAUACGUUCCUUCUUUUCCCCAAAAUCCUCCGCUGGAAAGAAACACAAAAUGUUGUCAGAUAGUGAAUCAUUAAAGGUUGAUGCAGAGUCUUUUGAAGCCACAAAAGAAGAAAAUUCAGAGAAGAGCAGUGAAAGUCUGGAUUCCACGGGAAUAAGUGAUGUAGAUACAAUUUGUCAUGAAAAUACCUGUGAACGUGAAGCUAAAAGAGCAAGAAGCAUAAGUGGAUCUAUUCCAGUCAGCUCCAGUAAGAAGAAGACUUUGACUGGAAAAAAGUCCACCUUGUUCACAGAGAAGAACAACGAAGUCCUUCCUUGCAGCUCACAGACUUCAAGCAAAGGCACAGCUAUAAAUGAAGAUUGGCACUGUAGUGUUUGCACUUACAGUAAUAACAAAUGGCUUCCUUACUGUGAAAUGUGUAAUUGCCCUCAGAGCAAUAACGCUGAGAGAAACUGUGAAGUUCCUACUAGCCAGACUGAAGAAGACGUGUCAAAAGACUCCAGAAGAGAUGAACAGAAAGCAGCAUGGGAUGCUGAAGAUGAAAGAGAAGAUUUGGAGGAAUCGGUGACCCAGCAGUCUGAAAUCAGUGAACAAGAAGCUGUCAAAAUCAAAAGUAAAGAAAAUGAAAGAACGUGUGGAGAAGAUGAAUCAGAUGCAUUUCUAGUAUACGAUGGGCUGAUGUUCUGUGCAAGCAGGAAUACUGAUAGAAUUCACCUCUAUACAAAGGAUGGUGAACCACUGAAUCUGAAUUUCAUUCCAUUGGACAUACAACUGGACAACUGGGAGGAUUUACCAGAGAAUUUCCAACAUAAACAAAAUCGUUCAAUGAUACUGAGGUUUGUGAAAGAAUGGAAUCAACUAACAGCGAUGAAACAGAAAAUGGUCAGAAAAAGUGGCCAGCUGUUUUGUAGUCCUAUUCAUGCUGCAGAGGAGAUGUCUAAAAAGCAGUCAGCAGCAAGCAGCACAAAAAGGUAUGUGACCAAGGAGGAUGUAGCAGCAGCCUCACUUAGCAAAGCGAGCAGCAGUGGGGGCAGCGUGCGCCUCAUCACUAAGGAAAGUAGAGCUUGUCUGAAGAAUGAAAAUGCUUCUAUGGCACAACCAGGUCACUCCACAAAGUUGUUUUUGGAGAAUGGAAAAACUCCUUCAGUUCUUCCUUCUGAUUGGACUGAAGUUGAAAGUUCGUCCUUACCUAAAGGCUAUUUGCUGCAAGCCUUGGAUGGUGAAGGGAACCCACUUUGUCUCCACUGUCAGCAGCCAACAGCUCAGCUUGAUCAAAGCUGCCAGGCCCGUGCCUGGGACACACGGUUCUGCUCUCUUGCCUGCCAAGAGGACUUCUCGGUUCGUUCCAGUCAGAGCUACCUCAGGGUUAAGGUGUUUGAAAUUGAACACGGUGUUUGCCAGUUCUGUCAUCAGAAUGCCCAAGAGCUCUAUCUUAACGUCAGGGAUGCACCUAAGAGUCAGCGUAAGAAACUUCUGGAGAGCUCAUGGAUGUCUCAUCUUCCACUUGGGCAGUUGAAUGAAAUUAUAACAAACCCAACAGAAGGUCAGUUCUGGCAGGUGGAUCACAUCAGGCCUGUUUACAGCGGAGGAGGACAGUGUUCCCUGCAAAACCUUCAGACUCUGUGCACAGUCUGCCACAGAGAGAGAACAGCAAAACAGGCCAAGGAAAGAAGUCAGAUGAAGAGACGCUCUUUAGCUACCAAAGUCACAGAACUGGAGAAGUUGAAAGGGACCUCUGGGGAUCCAUAAAUCCAACCGCUUCACUGAUGAGCACUUCAGUUGCACUUCAAGCAGCACUUUUUCCCCAAAAGGUAUUAUCAUUGGAAAAAGUAUUUUCAAGAAUAAUCCAUACAAAUGCAGAGCAAUCUUCUCCUGACGUUGUUCUGUGUGCUGCUGUACUAACUUUGAAAGGCUUCAACCACAAGGCAAGCACCCGGCUGCUACAUUACAACACAUGGGCUUUCUGGAUGGUCGCUGUAAUCCUCAGCAAGCGGGCUUAGUGCCUGCUAAACCUGAUCUUCCACCAAGUUCAGAACCAGCCUGCCUAGAUCCUCUUACCCACUGCAAACGAGCACUGACACAGCCCAAACGCAACCUGUGCAGGGGGGCAGCAGCACUCCCCAGGGAUC